Molecule: long non-coding RNA, 1168 nt
Organism: Anopheles merus
Lineage: Eukaryota; Metazoa; Arthropoda; Insecta; Diptera; Culicidae
Exons: 2
Source: RefSeq, a predicted model, not a curated record
CCCCGUGCUAAGAGCAACAAUUAUCGUUUGGUGCGUUGACAUUUCCCGGAUAUUACAACAGCACUGCAAUCAUCCCUUUAACCCAGUUGUCUUGUUGUACCAUAAAAGGAGCGCAGAGAACGGUUUGCAACUGAUUGGGAACAGGUUAAAUAGCUCAUUCUCAUAACGUGUGCGCUGAUUUAAAUAUCACAUUUUUCGUAGGGCAACAUCGCAUUAUUGCAUGUGAUUCUGGAAGCGAUAAGUGGCGAAGCGGAAGCACAAAGAACAAAAGCGUCCGGUUGACACCGAGUUGGCACCAAGAGCGUGCGAUGCCCCUGUCCCUUUGUGAGUUACUCGAGAAGAGCGGUAUGCAGAAGCGCCCGGCAGAAGAUGAGGGUCUAUUUAACCUUCGAACAAAGGAUAUCAACGCAUUAGUUGUGUAAUCAUUAGGAAAAUCGGAAGAUAGAACAUUAUCAGAUAUAAUUUGUCGAAGCAGUAUUUGCCCCAGAUAUAUAGAAUCCGUCCUGCAAAAGGCUUCACUUACAAGACACCCGGGCAGCAGAGCGACUUCUAAUUGCAGCCGUCACGUUCUUCACAUCUGACCUUUUGCAGCGCUAAUAUCCUGCUCUUAGCUUUCUUCCAGAUAUUUUCCCUCCAGCACGUCCCAACUAGGUCAGUGCCGUUCCAUUCCAAAACUUCCUUCCCAUAGACUCCUCAGCAUUCCGUCUCAUACCAUUCCACCGUUAGCAUAGCAACGCGGUAAUGAGAUGAUGCUGGUACGUACCCAUAUUUGCUUCCCAGAGCCAAUACGGCCUUCCGGGAUGAGACACCACUCGAACCAGAUGUUCCCAGGACAGCGCGCCGUCAACCAGGCCGGUGUUGACACUCUGGUGAUGUUUGCAAAUAACAACCAAAAGGUAGAACGUGCUUUCCCGGGAAUGUUACCGUGAAGAAAGUGGGCAGAAAAGAGGGGAGGUUUGCUAAUUAGUUACUUAAAGACUUUGUGACGCUAUCCGGCCAAGCGCGUCGGUGUACGUGCUGGGAACGGUGUUUUUGAUGGGGACGUUAUGGAGGGAGCUUUUGCUGAAGUUGGUUCUGGUUAAUAUCGGUUUGAUCGUAUCUUGUAGGCAAGUUCUCACGGUUAUGUAAUUUCGUGCCGUUUUGUGAUAAAAAUAACGAAACUUCUUUA